Molecule: ribosomal RNA, 465 nt
Filed under: uncultured bacterium
Lineage: Bacteria
Description: partial 16S ribosomal RNA
Rfam family: Bacterial small subunit ribosomal RNA
Source: RNAcentral
CUACGGGUUGCAGCAGUGGGGAAUAUUGGACAAUGGGGGAAACCCUGAUCCAGCAAUGCCGCGUGUGUGAAGAAGGCCUGCGGGUUGUAAAGCACUUUCGGUUGGGAGGACUGCUUCUAGCACUAAUAUUGUUGGAAGUUGACGUUACCUUCAGAAGAAGCACCGGCUAACUCCGUGCCAGCAGCCGCGGUAAUACGGAGGGUGCAAGCGUUAAUCGGAAUUACUGGGCGUAAAGCGCGCGUAGGCGGCUAGAUCAGUCGGGUGUGAAAGCCCCGGGCUUAACCUGGGAACUGCAUCCGAUACUGUCUAGCUUGAGUACAGGAGAGGAGAGUGGAAUUCCACAUGUAGCGGUGAAAUGCGUAGAGAUUGGAAGGAACAUCAGUGGCGAAGGCGGCCACCUGGACAAAGACUGACGCUGAGGCACGAAAGCGUGGGUAGCAAACAGGAUUAGAUACCCGUGUAGUC